Molecule: ribosomal RNA, 119 nt
Filed under: Pteropus alecto (black flying fox)
Lineage: Eukaryota; Metazoa; Chordata; Mammalia; Chiroptera; Pteropodidae
Source: RNAcentral
GUCUAUGGCCAUGUCACCCUGAACAAACCCGAUCCCGUCUGAUCUCGGAAACUAAGCAGGGUCGGGCCUGGUUAGUACUUGGAUGGGAGACCACCUAGAAAGACCAGAUGCUCAAUGCG